CUACGCACUCCUACGGGAGGCAGCAGUGGGGAAUAUUGCACAAUGGGCGCAAGCCUGAUGCAGCCAUGCCGCGUGUAUGAAGAAGGCCUUCGGGUUGUAAAGGUACUUUCAGCAGUGAGGAAGGUGGGUAUGUUAAUAGCAUACUCAUUUGACGUUAGCUGCAGAAGAAGCACCGGCUAACUCCGUGCCAGCAGCCGCGGUAAUACGGAGGGUGCGAGCGUUAAUCGGAAUUACUGGGCGUAAAGCGCAUGCAGGUGGUUUGUUAAGUCAGAUGUGAAAGCCCGGGGCUCAACCUCGGAAUUGCAUUUGAAACUGGCAAACUAGAGUACUGUAGAGGGGGUAGAAUUUCAGGUGUAGCGGUGAAAUGCGUAGAGAUCUGAAGGAAUACCGGUGGCGAAGGCGGCCCCCCUGGACAGAUACUGACACUCAGAUGCGAAAGCGUGGGGAGCAAACAGGAUUAGACUACCCUGGUAG
RNAcentral lists this ribosomal RNA (474 nucleotides) under uncultured bacterium. Its description in RNAcentral is "bacterial SSU rRNA". It matches the Rfam family "Bacterial small subunit ribosomal RNA", at positions 329 to 793 of the family's 1533-position model. The record is from RNAcentral.